AUACGGAGGGUGCAAGCGUUACGCGGAAUCACUGGGCGUAAAGCGCGCGCAGGCGGCUAUUUAAGUUGGAUGUGAAAGCCUACGGCUCAACCGUAGAACUGCAUCCAAAACUAUUUAGCUAGAGUGUGGGAGAGGAAGAUGGAAUUAGUUGUGUAGGGGUAAAAUCCGUAGAGAUAACUAGGAAUACCAAAAGCGAAGGCAAUCUUCUGGAACACUACUGACGCUGAGGCGCGAAAGCGUGGGGAGCAAACAGGAUUAGAAACCCCUGUAGUCC
This 274-nucleotide ribosomal RNA is filed under the name uncultured bacterium. RNAcentral describes it as "partial 16S ribosomal RNA". It matches the Rfam family "Bacterial small subunit ribosomal RNA", at positions 523 to 796 of the family's 1533-position model. The record is from RNAcentral.